CAGGGUAGUAUGCUAUUGGAGAUCUGAAACAUACUUCAAUUGACAAGGUUAUAACUUCUGGGUUUCUGUCUACUGACCAUAACUGUGCUACUGCAGCGGGAAAUUGAACAGGCCAACAGAGACUAACGUUGAUGCCAGUCUAGUGGGUUUACCAGUGAUCCUUAUAUGAAAAGACGAUCUUGUUGGGAUAACCAUCUUCAUGGUUCUAUGAGGAAUUUCUGCCACUUACUGACAUACUGGCUGACCAGGAAUAUCUCCCAUCUACCAUCUACUUUAGGGUGUUAGAAGAAUUAGCAAAUCGAUUAUCAACCUGCCUUGCUGCAUUUUGCAUGCUACUUCCAUGGCCAACAAGUCCUGGAAUGGGAUUUGAAUCUGGAACUCUGCACUCAGCGAUCAGGCCCGACCCACUGAACCACAAGACUUCACUGAGGGAAUGCUUGCGUGUAAUCUGAUAUUGGAAAAGUGGACACUGCUUUGGCAUAAUCUACAGGAGACGUUUUGGCCCCUGGUGCACAGUGGCUCAGAAGUCACAAAUGUAAACUUUAAAACUGCACAUUAGCAGUUAUGUUUAUGACUUAAUAUUGUGGC
Molecule: long non-coding RNA, 588 nt
Organism: Hemiscyllium ocellatum (epaulette shark)
Lineage: Eukaryota; Metazoa; Chordata; Chondrichthyes; Orectolobiformes; Hemiscylliidae
Exons: 4
Source: RefSeq, a predicted model, not a curated record